This 105-nucleotide Y RNA is filed under the name Theropithecus gelada (gelada). RNAcentral describes it as "Y RNA (ENSTGEG00000007293.1)". It matches the Rfam family "Y RNA". Rfam says of the family: Y RNAs are components of the Ro ribonucleoprotein particle (Ro RNP), in association with Ro60 and La proteins. The Y RNAs and Ro60 and La proteins are well conserved, but the function of the Ro RNP is not known. The record is from Rfam by way of RNAcentral. Lineage: Eukaryota; Metazoa; Chordata; Mammalia; Primates; Cercopithecidae.
GGCUGGUAUGAGUAGAGUGGUGUUUACAAUUAGUUGAUCACAACCAGUUUUUAGACUUAUUCAAGUUCCUUCUUCACUCCCACUGCUGCACCUGACUAGCCUAAA